Molecule: transfer RNA, 68 nt
Filed under: Sphedanolestes impressicollis
Lineage: Eukaryota; Metazoa; Arthropoda; Insecta; Hemiptera; Reduviidae
Description: tRNA-Asn
Source: RNAcentral
UUAACUGAAGCCAAAACAGAGGCCUUUCAUUGUUAAUGAAAUUAUUGAUAAACUAGUAUCCAGUUAAA